RNAcentral lists this ribosomal RNA (253 nucleotides) under uncultured bacterium. RNAcentral's name for it is "partial 16S ribosomal RNA". It matches the Rfam family "Bacterial small subunit ribosomal RNA", at positions 524 to 776 of the family's 1533-position model. The record is from RNAcentral.
UACGUAGGGUGCAAGCGUUGUCCGGAAUUAUUGGGCGUAAAGAGCUCGUAGGCGGUUUGUCGCGUCUGCUGUGAAAACUCGGGGCUUAACCCUGGGCCUGCAGUGGGUACGGGCAGACUAGAGUGCGGUAGGGGAGACUGGAAUUCCUGGUGUAGCGGUGAAAUGCGCAGAUAUCAGGAGGAACACCGAUGGCGAAGGCAGCUCGCUGGGACGGUACUGACGCUGAGGCGCGAAAGCGUGGGGAGCGAACAGG